UUCGCAAUGCCCGAAAGGGUGACGAAGCGACGCCGCGUGUGGGAAGAAGGCCUUCGGGUUGUAAACCACUGUCGGGAGUUAAGAAAUGCAAGGAUAUUAAUAGUGUCUUUGUUUGACUAAGGCUCCGGAGGAAGCCACGGCUAACUCUGUGCCAGCAGCCGCGGUAAUACAGAGGCGGCAAGCGUUGUUCGGAAUUAUUGGGCGUAAAGAGCACGUAGGCGGCUAUGUAAGUCGGUUGUGAAAGCCUUCCGCUCAACGGAAGAACAGCAUCCGAUACUACAUGGCUUGAGUGCGGGAGGGGAGAGUGGAACUUCUGGUGGAGCGGUGAAAUGCGUAGAUAUCAGAAGGAACGCCGGAGGCGAAGGCGGCUCUCUGGACCGUUACUGACGCUGAGGCGCGAAAGCUAGGGGAGCAAAUGGGAUUAGAUACCCCAGUAGUCCUAGCCGUAAACGAUGGGCACUAAGUAGAGGGGUUUU
RNAcentral lists this ribosomal RNA (476 nucleotides) under uncultured anaerobic ammonium-oxidizing bacterium. RNAcentral's name for it is "bacterial SSU rRNA". It matches the Rfam family "Bacterial small subunit ribosomal RNA", at positions 365 to 832 of the family's 1533-position model. The record is from RNAcentral.